GUACAAGCCUGUCCCCAAGCCCUCACCGCCGCCGUCGCCAACUCCGCCGGCGCCGAAGCCGACUCCACCGCCCUACAAGCCCCCGACGCCUACUCCUCCGGCGUACAAGCCUCCCACCCCGAGCCCCCCGCCUCCGCCGUACCACCACUAAGAAGAUCCACCACUGUCAAGCUGGGAGCCUAGGUACGUGCAAACCACACCAGUCUACAUUCUUGCAUGCACACACCAUUUGUCCGAAGAGCACCAACUAACCAAGUAAACAUUUGUGUUUGCAGGAUGCGGUCGAGAAGAGUUGUGCGAGCAGGCCAAGAAGAGCCACGUACGUACGGCGUCGUUGAUCCUCCUGCGGUGUGUGAGUUGCUGCCGAGCUACUAGGGCCGAUCUCUGAGGAGAUGGAAUAAUGCAGAUGGCUCCCAUUAGUUAUCUUACCAGCUUAUCAUUUGUGUUCGUCCAGUGUUAGCGUCUGUGUUGCUAGUGUCGCAAUGUUGCCAGUGUCACUGUAAAACCAUUAAUCACCACGGAAAUGGAAGUAAAAGGUGUUGUUUCCCGUUGCAUGUAACGUGAUCGCGUCUCUGUUUUGCUGUUCUUCUAUCUUCUUGGCCUAUGGGUGACGAGAUGCGAUGUUUGCAUGCCAGUGAGUUUACACAUAAAAUAUGUGACGUUGAGUAUCACGCUCUGCUCGCACAGGCGCAGCAUGCAUGCCUGCAAGUCCUGCGGCGCAGUGAGCUACAGUAUCUCACACUAGUGUUCUGCAGCAUAUGCCCAUGCGACGCUUAAUAAAGAACAGUAUAGUAGGUCUCUGCCGUCUAGGUGCAUCCCCGCGACCAUAGGCACUGGCAAAGGCACAGGCGCACACGCCCCGAGGAAUGACAUUUAUCGGGUGCAUGCAUGUCUAACUCUAGUGGUUUCAUUUAACUAAGAGGGUGCUUGGAUACUACUUUUAGUCCCAUGACUAAAAGUAGUGGGACUAAAACGUAUCCAAACACCCUCUAAAACUUGUUAGCCUCAUCCAUAUUUAAAUCCAAAUACUAAAGAGACUAAAAUCAAGUUAUUGAGCAUUUAUUAUCCUCCAAAACCUUCAAUUCAGAACUCGCAUGUGUUAAAGGAGAGACAUUAAAUGAUGAGAGAGAGGUCUAAUACAUAUUUUAGUAGAUUUCCUAUGAUUAAAAUUUUUUAAUCUCAAAACUAGUCCUAGCCUCUCUUUAGUCAAGGGUGCUUGGAACUUUAGCCUCUAAAAGAGACUAUUUUUAGUCUCUUGGAUCCAAGCAUCCUCUAAGGCUGGUCAUAAAAAUCUUAGCGUCCGAAACAAUUUUACGUUAUAAAUGGAAGGUGUCACAGAAGUGAUGAGCGGAAGAGAACCGAACCCUAGUACUCCACCUGAAUGCGGGGCGCGUGAUCUGUUUUUAACUUCAUUUUUACGAACUCAGUACUCCUUUCAUUUUAAAAUAGAUGACCCAACUUGGUAUUAUACAAAAUUGGAACUUUAUACUCCUUUCAUUUUAAAAUAGAUGACCCAAAUAGGAGUACUGUAUAAAGUUGGGUUAUCUAUUUUGAGGUACAAUGGAGUAGGUCAGUGUGAAACCUGCGCUGCUGGGGUAGCAUGCAUGGUGCCAACAGGUCUGACCGAGCCUGGUGAAAGAAGACAAGAAGAACAGUUGGCACAAUAAAUUAACUUGACAUGCUGUGCUUAUACUACCAAUUUUAAUUUCAGUUCAGCUAAAUAUGGUAAUCUAUCACACAGAUUUGAAAACCUUGAUCUUUUGGUAUGGCAGACUGUUUUCCUUUUGAUGGAAAGCAGACUGUUUUUCUAACAAAUGCUUAUAGUCAUUGUGGUACAUACUACUAAGUGAGAAUAUACGGAGUAGAAGUUUGUUCCAUUUAAUUAUUUUGCACUGGAGACUUCUCAUUGAGUUUGAAGUAUAAAUUCUAAUCCUAGGAUCAAUGUCACAGUUUUUCAAAUAGGAACAGUAUGGACAAAACGAAGUGCUCCAUUUUUCAUGUCUGCCUGUUCACACGUACUUCAUGGGUUUUCUUGGCCACAUGGGUAUGUCGAUUGGUGUCAGAGAUCCGUGGAUUUUACUUGAGGCCACCAUACACGAAAAGGCACAAAACAUGCAAGAUAAAAGCUGGAGGAGAAAAGCAAGCGCGGGAACCAAGAAAGGCAAAUUAUUUUCACGGAAAUGAUGCUGCUCACAACUUCACAAGGAAAGCGGUUUUGCAAUGUCGUUCGUUUUUCGCUCGCGAGAAAUUCCUCACCUUCCCGAAACAAGGAAAGAAGUUGACAAGAUGGCAAAGAUAGAAGGCUAGAGGAUGUGAUUAUCAGUACUAGCACGGCUCUAAUGUAACCAUUGUUCAACUACCAAGGAGAUUUAAGGAGCAUGUGCGAGCGGGCGAACAUGAGAAAAGACGUAGGAGGGCACUAGCAUGGAUUUGGUAGGUUCCUGCUGGACGUUAGUACGUUGUUUUGCUCAAGCAUUGACUUGAUACUACCAAUUACCAAAUGCAUGGUUUGAUAAUCAGGAUUUAGGCCUAUAUAUGUACUAGCACUCUAGCAUAAGAAAAACAGUCCCUAAUCCCUAGUAUCUAGUAUCUACAGACGAGAGCAGGAUAAACAAAGGAAAGAAUGGCGCUUGCAAUGUUAUCAGGCAUAGUAUGAUUUCCUGAGAGGUGAGAUAUAAAGGACGGAGCCUUUUGGGAAAUUUGAUGUACUGUUACGAACCUGAACUUCCAGCUGCAAGCAGCGGGCAAUGUACCUACUUACCUUACCUGUGUAGGAGUAGCAAGUAAAAGGGGAAAGAAACUGGUCCAGAGUAGAGCCACCCCCAUUAGGGUUUUGAGGCGACACGGUUUCCUGUGAAGAGCAGCUGGCCGAGGACAUUGCUGUUCACCCGCUGACCCGCAUGACGGAACCAGAAGGAUCCAGAAAAGCUACCGUAGAAAACAAAUGCUGGAUGGCUCAAGAAGUAGGGAUCGGAACCGGGUCCAUACGAGCUUCUGCCAAGCGAGGCUGUGGAACUUGCUUGCCACACUGAUUGCUGCAGAUCGAGCUACUGCAUCUUAGUAUUAUACGUACAAAAUACUGGUACGGUACAAGUAUGAAGUAUAGUUUUUUUUUUGAAACGGAGGCAAAAGCUUUGCCUCAUCCAUUAAAUAAGAGAGAAUAGAGUUUGUUACAAAUCACCCACGACACCACAUGGAUUAUUACAGUAUGAAGUAUAGUAGUAGCUCGAUCCUUCGUCCGGGGAAACUCGGAAGGAGCAGCAGCCUGCCGUGCAGCAACAUUCAUUCCAGUCAUGGGAGCAGUUACAUCUAGGAGCCUACUCCCUGCUGUAGGAGUAUGAGCAAAAAGCUGGAACAAAUUGAAGUGCAUGAACCGAGCCAAGGGGCAUCAUCAAUUGAGUCACCGGAUUCACGUCGCCGGCCACUGCGCCCGCCGCUGACGAGCAGCAGUAGGCCAGUAGGGCCCCGGGCUUUGACCGUCAGGCAAGGCCAUGCAUCGCAUUUACGCCGACAGCACGGGCGGCGUGUGUUGAAUUGAACCCGGCAACUGCAAGCAAGGCGCAAAGCAACAAGAAGAAAACCAGGGCGAGAGGGGCACAUGCAGAGGACGCAGGACAGGAGCAAUUGAUUAUGGUUUUGGGAGUGCGAUGCGGAGAAUGAAACAAGUUCCUCCAAAAGAAAAAGAAAAGGAAAGAAAAAGAAUGGCGACAACCAAUUAGUACGUAGAGAGAGUUCGGAGGGACUGUGCCCUCCCUUGGAUCCACGCUGCAAAUGGGCCGCAAAAUGGGCGAAGCUGCGACGAGACUUCCGGCGACCACAGUCCACAGCAUGGAGUACACUAUUUGCAACGUUUUCUAUUCCAGACCGAUCGCUCGUUUCCCUGCUCAUCUGCGUCUAGUUCCUUCCACGAUCCAUCCUUUGAGCGCGGCUCCGAUCAUGGAUGGUCCCGGCUGCCGACAUGGCUACGAAUCUACGACCAUGUUCGCGCACUGGAUGGGCGUGUGCGGUGCCGCCGAUGAGUACCGUACCGUACCGACGAACGGCCCAACGUGGUUCGCUCGCCUCGAUCUAUUGCUUGCUUGUUGCACAGAUGCACAUGCACUGAUGGGCACGCAACAUUGUUCCCUGGAAAGAAAGAUGGCGCCCAUCUGCUCUCAUUCUGCACUUUGACAGAGAUCAGUCUGCAAGCACACAUGCAUCCACGAGCCAACUGAUUCCGGCGGUGCGAUUUGCCUAAUCGUUCGGUUCCGAAAGCUUAAUAACGCGUGAUGCGUCCAUCGUGCACACGGAAAGAAAGAAACAUCUUUCGCUUUACCCCGGCCGUGUGACCGUGCCUGUAUGUACACACAACUGGCUAAGAAGACACUAGGGUGGGUGGAUCGGUGUCAGUCUAGCUAAGACACGCCCUCAUGCAAGGCUUACAAAGAAAAUAGGUGCAGAUCUCACCGUCGUGGGAAUGCCUAGAUCUACCUAACCAUCACCGAGCUUAUCUUUUUCGGUUGACCGUGCCAGCAGACGAUGCCGUUUUCAUGAGGGGUUGGGUUCGUCCGGUUCCGCCUAAUCUUAACCAGACAUCUACUGCACAUCACAUGCCUUGAAGCAUAGCCAUUUAGUACAACGGACAAUAUGCUUUUUCGACAUGGACAGCGUUGCAGGAGCAGGUAGAAAAUUUGACUCGUAAGAAAACUGGCCUUGGUGGAUUUGGAAGGCUUUAAAUUACGGUUCUAAUGUUUCCUCCUAAUAAUUUGGAUCAAAUCAGAAUUGACAGUGCGCUUCGUCCAACAAAUGAGGUACCUAGCAGCUUUUUUCAGCCAACUUCACAGUAAUUAGAUUCGCCAAAUGCCAUUGUAAACUUGAGAAGAAUGAGCCACCUCAUGGAAAAUAACAAAUUCACAAAAUCGCCGCAUAUGCCAAAAUUUAGUAGCAAAUGUAGCUUUCAUAAGCCUAUGUAAGUGAAGCAAGGCUGAGCAACAGCCAGUAACAAAAUGAACUACUGUUACUCAAACCUCUGUGAUCACCAUCUUCCAAAGGGGCAUAAUAUCAUGAGUCAAACGAAAAUUCUUGUCUGCCCACCGGACGUCUUUUGCGUGGAUUGGUUUCGCCCAGACUACCGACAAAAGCCCUCCCGCUGUCCCGCAACCGGAGAAUUCUUCCGUCCAAAAGAGAGCUACGAUGUCAAAGCCCACACUGCGUAGUUUGGUCCAAGCACACCAACCCACAGCUGCCGCGAAGACAAACAAGUCUUUUAAGGUCCAAGCCCACUAAAAAGGCAGGAAUGUUUUUUUUUCUUCUUUUUUGCGGAUGCAAAAAAAGAAAAAAAUAUCUAAAAAAUGCAAGAAAAGAAAAGAAAAGAAUGAGUGCCCAUUCCUUCAGAGAAAAACCAUUUUACAUAUUACUCCAUCUGUUAUAAAAUAUAAAAUGUUUUGGAUAUUUCAAUAUAGACUAUAUACGGACUGAAAUGAGUGAAUAAAUAAACUAAAAUGCGUCUAUACAUGCGAAUCACAAAAAGUUAAAACAUAUUAUAAUAGUGAACGGGGAAGUAAUAAUAUUUAUGUGGACACUUGCAAAGAGCAAGCCGAAAUAACUAACGCACCAAACGAAUUAGUUAACAAUGAAUUUUAUUCACCAGCUAAGAGGUGUUUUGGACAUAUCGCCAAAAUGCAUUGACGAUGCUUUUAAAAAAACGACAUUACUACUUGACACAAUGAUGACAAAACACAUAUUCAACACCAAAGCCACAUCAAAGUAAUGAAACACUGAUUUUUUUUUACCGAUAAUCUUGCCCACUACCUAUGUUCCAUCUUGAAAUGGCCCCCCUUCCAGGCAGAGGUAAUCGUUACCGCUGAAAAUGGUCAAAAUGAUUUUUCUUUUUGGAACUCCUCUUGGGUGGAUGGCCUACGACCAAAAGAUAUGGCUCCCACCAUUUUUGCCGUCUUUAAAAGGAAGUUUUUGAAUGUUCAUGAGACCCUACCUAAUAAUAGGUGGGUGGAUCAAGUCGACACAUUCAAUGGCCUCUCCAUGCAACAAUUAUAGAAGUUCGCCUUCUUGUCGAGCUACACGUCUAAUGUUCACCUUUCUAAUAAGUAGUUUGACUCCAUCUCUUGGAAGGUGCCCCCUCUCGGAACUACUCCGUGACCUCAGCAUACAAUGCCCCAUUCCUCACGAUAAUUCCAUCCAACAUGAAGCACAACAUUUGGAAAUUAACCCUCCCCCUCCGCCCCAAAUGCAAUAUCUUUGCUUGCCUCAGUAAUCAAAAUAGAGCUUUGAUGGUGCAUCACCCAGCCAAAUGCGGGUGGCCCAACUGCGACCAAUGCCCUCUUUGCAACUGCGUCCCAGAGACGGGGACACACAUGAUCUUUCAAUGAUGCUUAUCCAUACACAUUUGGAACAUGGUGAAGGAUUGGUUUGGCAUUCAUAUGCUUGACAUCGCCUCCUGGAAUGCAUUCGUCGACGUCAAGUCCUUGUGGGACUCUAUCAUACACCAUGACAUUUCUAGGCACAAGGCGAUGGCUCCCGUUGCCAUGUUGGUCACGUGGAGAGAUUUGGAACAAGCGUAACUCGCGUGUUUGUAACCACAAGCAGACCCCUCCACCGAUCUUCAUCCGAUGCAUCUGUCAUGAGGCCGCCUUGUGGGUUGCGGUCGGGGCUAAGCAUUUGGGUAUUGUCAUGCCAGAAGAGUAGGCACUUUCCUUCUUUUUUCGCACUCACAUAAUCGUUCUGUAACGCACUCUUCUUAAUUAAUGAAUCUGGCAAACCUUUUGCCACUUUUAAAAAG
RNAcentral lists this long non-coding RNA (6775 nucleotides) under Triticum aestivum (bread wheat). RNAcentral describes it as "long non-coding RNA (TAES_LNC020943)". Lineage: Eukaryota; Viridiplantae; Streptophyta; Magnoliopsida; Poales; Poaceae. The record is from RNAcentral.